Long non-coding RNA from Oncorhynchus gorbuscha (pink salmon), 571 nucleotides. RefSeq lists it as uncharacterized. The record is from RefSeq and is a predicted model, not a curated record. The transcript has 2 exons. Lineage: Eukaryota; Metazoa; Chordata; Actinopteri; Salmoniformes; Salmonidae.
GGUUUUCGUUUCGUUUAUUGUUUUGUUGUGUUUAUUCGUGUUUACGUUGUGUGAUUAAACAUGGAUCGCAAUAUACACGCUGCAGUUUGGUCCGACUCUCCUUCACCACAUGAAAUCCGUGACACUAUUGAAGAUAGAAAUCUGGAAUCUUCAUUUUUUUUUUACAAUUGAAAAAGGUGUGGAUCAAUCUCCAUUCUCCCUUGAUUCAGAAGAUACCAUUUUCAGUCAUAGCAUGCUUGGUUCAACAGCUAUUGAUGAGAGCCACCGAAUAUCCAGUAUACUUUUUUUGUACCUCGGUUCAUUGCGUCUUCAUAGAGACCAAUAAAUUCCCCCACCAAAAAAACAUCACGUUUACUCUUCAUGCAGGGCAUGUGGACAUGUACUUGCAUAACGAUCAGUUAUAUAUUCCCUAAACAAGUUCAUAUAACUGUUACCAAUUGUGAAUACGCACCACAACUUCUAUAGGCUGUAGAAACAGAUUGCGUGGCAAUAUGUUGAAGAAGAUUCAAAGGGCGACCAAGCGCGAGUUCUGACUGCUCAGCAAAAUGACAAAUUAAAACGAUUUGAUUGA